Long non-coding RNA from Girardinichthys multiradiatus, 3257 nucleotides. RefSeq lists it as uncharacterized. NCBI's taxonomy places the organism in Eukaryota, Metazoa, Chordata, Actinopteri, Cyprinodontiformes, Goodeidae. The transcript has 3 exons. The record is from RefSeq and is a predicted model, not a curated record.
GGAUUUAACAGGGAGCCAAUGAAGGGAAGCUAAAAUAGGAGAAAUAUGAUCUCUCUUUUUAAUUUAGUCCCGUUGUUGUCAAGUAAAAACAUUAAAAUCGAUUGUCCAAAAGAUUAUUGAUUUCUGAUCCAACAAAUAACAUUUCCUAAAAUAUUAUUUCCCUGGGAUAAGGAUGGCAAAUUAAACAAAGUUAAGGAUCAAUUAUCCAAAAAGGCUGAUUUCUAAUUUAGCAAUAAUUCUUUAAAAUAUAAUUUUAUUAAAAUAAUGUUUUAUCUACUCUGAUUUUCCAUUGUGACUGGUUGUUGGAAGACAUACCAAUUAAUUUGCUUAAUUAGUUCUAAAACUAAUUUGACUUCAUUUCCAAGUCCUUAAGGUUAACCUUGGUUCGUAAAUAUAGUUCCACAUUGAACUGUGGUAUCAUUGCACCAUUUUCAUUGGUUCCCUUGUUCCUUUGUUGUACAUAGUUCAUUAGUUUUCUUUAUUCCUUCAGUUUGCUUGGUUGUUUAGUUAAAUUGUUCUAGCCUAGUAAAUAGAUUGUUAUUUGAAAUAUGUUUAACUUUGUGUUGAAUUGUUUUCCAUUAAUAAAUUCUUAUAUUUUGGAGAGAAGUUAUGUUGAAUUUAAUCCAUAUGUGUGCAGAGUUUGCCGUUCAAUAAUGCCAGGGUUAAAAUCACUAUCCCAAACAGACGAGUAGGCAAACAGCCUCUUGGUUCCGACCAAGAGGAAAAAUCACAUGACUGUAACCCAACAGAAACAUGUUUUUUCAGAGACCAAACUGCAGAGGAACUGAGGACUGCAGUCCAAUCAUCCUGGGCUGGAAUACCUGUUCACAGGUGGCAGAAGUUAGUCGACUCCAUUUAGCACAGAUGUGCAGCAGAGACAAUCUUUUUGCAACUAAAAAUGUGUUCAGGGAUUCACAGGAAAAUUAAAAGCAUUUUAGAGUUCACAGUAAUUAUGGACAUUGCCAUUUUUUUUAAAUAAUUUCUUGAACUUUCGUCAUGUUUUAUCUUUGGAAUAGAAUGUGCUGUUUCCCGUUGGUUGUAUUCAAGCAGUUCUUAUCAUUUUUAUCUUUACUCACCUUAUAAACACACUGCUAUUUUAAACCUAGUUGUACCUCUUUGUGAAGUGUCCGGUCCCUCGGGUGGCAUUGCAAACCUGCAAUUGAUCCACAAACAAAGUUGAUACCAGAUUAUACCUGCUGCAGUCUACAUGGAGCAACACAAAUAAGCACAUUCACAGAAUGUAUUGACCUGUAACUUUAGCUCUCCUACUAUUGCUUGGUUUGGAUCCAGGAGCAUUAGGCAAAUAUGAACCAAAUAAACAGUUUUGUUUUUUUUCCAUUAUCAUACAUUUAUACUCAAUGAAAUAAUACAUUUUAUAUAAAAGCGCCUUUCACUGAAUUAAACGGUACUGUUAAAAACAGCUAACAUUAUGGUGCACAGAGAUAUGUUUUUCUCUUACCCAGAUCUUAUGUGCUGCUCUAAGCUAAAAUCAUGACCUGACAGACGUGUGCUGCAAACCAACGUGGAAACGAAUCUGCCUGCAAGUCUCGUUGUGUGCAGCAGAUGGCGCCAGACUGUCAUCAUAAAACACACACUCAACGCCGCUUUUAUUAUGAUCAGCAGCGGUUUCCCCUGGAUCCCGGUGUUUUGAUCCAACGCUGUGAAAUGAGCAAAACUUAAGUCCGAACAGCGUCAGUGAGCGUUUGGAUCCUGGGUGUUGUGCUUUCCAGCCGGAGGACAGAGAUAGACCUGCAGCGAUGCUGUCCAAUGUUCUGGAACAUGCCAGCCUGCUGCAGCUGCUGUAUUUAUACCACUGACAUUUUACAACCGCUACACUGGGAAUUUUAUCAGGUUUAAAAAACGAACAUUGAUACCAAAUGGUCAAUGGAAUUCAAUGAUUUUAAAACAGAAACAAAUUUAUUAUUUGAAGUAUUGUUACAUUGUAUCAUGCUUUAUAAAGCAGGUGAACUCUGCAAACAGAGCAACAUGUAGCUCUGGAACAACGAAUACUAUUAUUAAAACGUUGUUCCUAAAUAUUGUUUAGACUGUACAGUCUGGUUUGAAAAAAAUGACUAAUUGGUUGCAGUGGGCGGCUCCCAACGUCUCCACUCAUGGCUCCCACAAAGCAGCGCAGAGGAAAUGUAAAGAGGACCACCCAGCAGCUCUGUGGAAGUGUGGUGUUUCUGCAGUUCCUGCAGCUGAGAGGGACUGCGGGGAAUACUGGGAAGCCGUUUAAACAUGAUGAUGAUGCUGCUGCUGUCAGGUAAAAGUGUGAGGCCUUCAGCUGUUUUAAUCUGAUCCAAGAUCAGAACACUUCACACCUACAUCUGCAGCUGAGGAUGAUACUCCAAUAACAGCCAAUCACUAUGAGACACACAGGCAGCAGAUAUAUUAGCCCCUGUUCCCUACAGGCUGCACUUCAUACUGACCCGUCUGCUCCGGGAUCUACCUGCCCACACAGCAUCAGAGACGAGCUGACACAUGCUAUGCAGCAAAACUCUCCUGCUCCUACGUUCCACACGUUCUUAUUUAACACAUGGCAAUUAUAAUGCAGGCUGGGACUUUUUACAUUUGCAGCACUGGGUCAAUUACUGCUGAUGCAUUGUAUUAGCAUUAUGGCUGCCCCAUGCAACAGCAAGACAUUUUUUCAAUUAGAUCUUACUUUAACCAACAUUCAAAUAUUUCAAGCCUUUAAAUGCCCACUGCUUUCUGUAUUGUUUAGAUAAUAUUGUCAACAUGUUAUGUAUUUCUUAACAUCCAAAAUAAUUUAUGACUAACUUUGCUGUCUUAAAAUUGACCAAAAAAAAUUUAAAAUUUGCACCUUGAUUGAGCAAAACUGUAAAUAUUUUUUUUGCAGGAUUUGAAGUUUUAAAUGCACUUCUAGAUGCAUGACUAUGAGUGUGGGGCUAACUCGGCACCUAAACACCCUGGAGCUAGAAAGGAAGAUACUCAGCCACUCGCUCCAACGUAUUUCCCAUAAACACACAACAAACAGAAAAUUCCACAUCCACUUGAAAAACAUGCACAAACACACAAGCAAGAAAAGCAACGUGGGACGAUAAGCCCUAACCUCCCAACACCCUCCCCUUCCUCCCUCAAAGCAGCCCUGCCCUCCACAUUCCUCACAAGGCGCCCCAUCCCCCCCUACGACCUGUCCCAAAUAGGAAACUUACCCCAUUUUCCCACCCACGCGGUGACUUCUUCAAGCGUGCACACUCAAAUUAUGCUUUGAAAAGCCGACUGAAAGAGGGGGAGGG